RNAcentral lists this long non-coding RNA (2607 nucleotides) under Brassica napus (rape). RNAcentral describes it as "long non-coding RNA (BNAP_LNC020076)". The record is from RNAcentral. Lineage: Eukaryota; Viridiplantae; Streptophyta; Magnoliopsida; Brassicales; Brassicaceae.
UUAAUGUUAUGAUACAGUUUUGACUUCAAACCGGAGAAGAAAUUUAUGGUUUAAAGACUUAUACGGCCGACUUUGAUCCGGUUUACAAAAUCAAGUGCUGAUUGGUUUACAGUUUUCCUUAUAGCUUAGGUUGUCUUCUUAUUUCGACGCGGGUUAGUUAAUGGUUUGUUUGACUUUUAUGGGGCUAAUCUCACACGUGUUGUAAUACGUCGUAGUGUAUGAGAACUAAUAAGCCACAUGAUUGUUAUGCUUAAAACUGUAGUUGAUUGUUUGGAAUUUGUUAAAGAAACUAAUUAGUACAUGAACAGCUCGUUAACCGAUAUAUUAUUAUAUUGAAAGCGACGUGCAAAGUGAACACUUGUCCUUUUGGUUUUGGUCUUGUUAUUAUAACGUUCUGAAACAGUUGUCAAUACAAUACAACACAUGUAUCUACCAGUUUGUUACAUUGUCAUUAGUUCAUGGCAAACCACAAAUUUAUACAGACAGUUGUAUAUACACAUUACAUUCCUUUUUGUUUGGAACUCAAGCUACUUUUUGAUCGAAUAGCUUUUUUUAAAAGAUCUAGGUGACUUAAGGAUUUUCUUUUGUAUCUCUUGAGUUUUUUUUCCCCCCAACACGUUCUUUGGUUUGGUUGAGUCAUGAGACUCAUAACAUUAUCUCAUAUAUAAACAAAUAUCCAAAAAAAGUUGGGGAUAUAAGUAAUUUGGUGAACAUUUCAAACAAUUUAGAAACCGUAUAGUUUGUGCAUAUUUUUCUUAGAAAUUUGGAGGCCAUCGCCCAUAAUCCAAUAUUUCACCGACCCUAUUAAUAAUUUAAUACCUCGUGAUGCACGUAAACCAGUGUUUAGCCCAAAUCAAAGUUACAAACUGAUUGACAAAUUGCUUGAAAUGAUUCUUAAAACUUUUUUUUUGACUAAAUUUUUUCUUAAACUUGAUCGAGGUAAAAAAUGGUUCUGCUUUGAUGCUUGAAAGGCUCCUUCCUACAAUGGCCAUGCUAAUGACUAUGGAGAAUGUGAUAUUAUCAGGCACGCAUCCGUGAUUUUCUAUUCUGUGAAAGCAAUGUACAUCCUCUGAAGCUAACCCAGCUCCAAAGUAACGCCGGCCUAAUCAAGAUCAUGAUUCAUGAAGGUAUCCAUCGAAGUCUCUACGUCACUAGAUUUCAUGAUAUCAAUCAAGUGCCAAGCUGAUAGGUUGAACUGUCUUACUUUACCUGCAAGACGAUGAUUUUAUUGUAACUUGUAAGGAUGAGGCGAUUUCUUGUGGUACACGUAAGUUACCCAGUGAAAGAAAGCUAGCGAUUGGAGGAGAGGGAUUCCGUCAAGAGAGAGUUUUGAUCGUGUUAACGCCAUUAAUGAGAGGUUUGAUGACCUCUCUUGAGUCUUAAGUCUCUUUCAAAGCUCAGAACUCAGAGUAGCUCUGGAUCUCUGGUGAGCCAGCAAAAGGUCAAACUUUACCUGAAGCGGCGACGUUUAGUGCUUCCUCUAUAGAUGAUACCUGUUUUUUUCGUUUAAUAGUCUUUUUUGUUUUUUUUGCUUAAACGUGUCAUUAUCGUGUUACUAGUCUUUUUUCACGUAAAUCUAUUGCUUCGCAAUUAAAAACAUUUAAUGGAAAAACCAAUACGACAAGUCAUAAUUCAAAAGAAAAUUACUCAUUUUAUUUGAACAUAUCCGACUAUAUAAGGAUAUACCCAUUUGGCAAAAAAGGGGUAAGGAUAUAACUCAAUACAUUAGACAGUAUUCUACACGUAUUAUAUGAUGCUUGACCACGUUUUGUGGCUAUGAUAUGUGUUACAUCGAUAUAUGUGUUACAUGGAUGCAGAGCUGUGCCCACCAUGAAGUGAAAAAAGGCAUUUGCCUAGGGCCCUUUUAUAAUAUCAAAAUUUUGGGACCCCUAAUUUCUAUUUUUUUUGUAUUUAGUAAAUAUAAUUAGUUAGAUUUUUAUCAGAUUUGAGAUUCAUUUUUUUUUUGAAACCAUUUUUUGUUAUAAUCUGUUUUAAUUAAAAUCCCAGAGACUUUAAUUGUUUUUUAAAGUUAUCAAUUUCUAAGUUCUACCCAUGCAAAUUAUGAUGAUUUGCUGAAAAAAAUCACAGAAAUAAAAUUUGAUGCAAUUUUUGUUGAUUUUUAAGGUCUUAUCUAUUAUUAUCUAGUUAUAUAUAUUUUGUAUCAUUUUCAUUGAAUAUAAGUAAAUAUAAAAAUAUGUAAACAUCUUAUAUAGUAACUUAGUUUUAGAGGCUUAUUAAAUUUAUGGUUUAAAGACUUAUACGGCCGACUUUGAUCCGGUUUACAAAAUCAAGUGCUGAUUGGUUUACAGUUUUCCUUAUAGCUUAGGUUGUCUUCUUAUUUCGACGCGGGUUAGUUAAUGGUUUGUUUGACUUUUAUGGGGCUAAUCUCACACGUGUUGUAAUACGUCGUAGUGUAUGAGAACUAAUAAGCCACAUGAUUGUUAUGCUUAAAACUGUAGUUGAUUGUUUGGAAUUUGUUAAAGAAACUAAUUAGUACAUGAACAGCUCGUUAACCGAUAUAUUAUUAUAUUGAAAGCGACGUGCAAAGUGAACACUUGUCCUUUUGGUUUUGGUCUUGUUAUUAUAACGUUCUGAAACAGUUGUCAA